RNAcentral lists this ribosomal RNA (332 nucleotides) under Neorickettsia risticii (Potomac horse fever agent). RNAcentral describes it as "bacterial SSU rRNA". It matches the Rfam family "Bacterial small subunit ribosomal RNA", at positions 88 to 438 of the family's 1533-position model. Lineage: Bacteria; Pseudomonadati; Pseudomonadota; Alphaproteobacteria; Rickettsiales; Anaplasmataceae. The record is from RNAcentral.
UGGUCCCGUGGCAGACGGGUGCGUAACGCGUGGGAACUUGCCUGGUAGUAGGGAAUAACCAGUGGAAACAUUGGGCAACACCCUAUACGCCCUGAGGGGGAAAAUUUAUUGCUAUCAGAUAGGCCCGCGUUAGAUUAGCUAGUUGGUGGGGUAAUGGCCUACCAAGGCGACGAUCUAUAGCUGGUCUGAGAGGAUGAUCAGCCACACUGGAACUGAGACACGGUCCAGACUCCUACGGGAGGCAGCAGUGAGGAAUAUUGGACAAUGGGCGAAAGCCUGAUCCAGCCAUACCGCAUGAGUGAUGAAGGCCCUUGGGUUGUAAAGCUCUUUUA